RNAcentral lists this ribosomal RNA (253 nucleotides) under uncultured bacterium. RNAcentral describes it as "partial 16S ribosomal RNA". It matches the Rfam family "Bacterial small subunit ribosomal RNA", at positions 524 to 776 of the family's 1533-position model. The record is from RNAcentral.
UACAUGGGGUGCAAACGUUGCUCGGAAUUAUUGGGCGUAAAGCGCACGUAGGCGGUUCGUUAAGUCGGAUGUGAAAGCCCUCGGCUCAACUGAGGAAGUGCACCCGAAACUGGCGAGCUUGAGUACGAAAGAGGAUCGCGGAAUUCCCGGUGUAGAGGUGAAAUUCGUAGAUAUCGGGAGGAACACCGGUGGCGAAGGCGGGUCUCUGGACAGUUCCUGACGCUGAGGCACGAAGGUCAGGGGAGCAAACGGG